This 1424-nucleotide long non-coding RNA is filed under the name Triticum aestivum (bread wheat). RNAcentral's name for it is "long non-coding RNA (TAES_LNC000021)". The record is from RNAcentral. Lineage: Eukaryota; Viridiplantae; Streptophyta; Magnoliopsida; Poales; Poaceae.
GACCACGGUGAGUUUAAUUUGAAUGGACAUUACUUGCUAGUCUUGACAUUUGAGUGUCAUCAUGCUAACGAGACAUUGGAAAUGAUCUUUGGUGCAGCGUAACUCCAUACAAGCAUCGCACGAUCCUUCUCCAGCUACCGGCACGAGCCAGCCCACUCCUACACCUCCAUGGUCAUGGUAAGUUUUUCUAGUGUUUUGCUUAACAAAUGCAUAAAGACCUAGACUUAGCCUUAUUUCCUUCAAUAUGCUUACCACAAUGACCUAGAAUUAGCUUCUUUUCCUCCAAAAUGACUUAAUAAGCUUACUGACCUCCAAAACCAUCCAUUUUACCUAAGUUAGCUCUAAAACAAUCUAUACUUAGCUUUGUUUCCUCCAAAAUGACCUAAGUUAGCUCUAAUAUGCUUAAUUAACUAGGUUUGCUCAAUAAUGACAUGUACUUAGCUUACUUAUGUCAAAAAUGGCAUAAUUUGCUUAGUUAGCUCAUAAACAAUCCAUUUUACCCAAGUUAGCUCUAAAAUGACACAUUCUACCUUAGUUAGCUCAUAAAUGAUCCAUUUUUACCCAAGUUAGCUCUAAAAUGACCCAUUUUACGUAGACUAGCUUCAAAAUGAUCCAUUUUACCUAUGUUAGCUCUAAAAUGACCCAUUUUACCUAGGUUAGCUCCAAAAUGACCCAUCUUACCUAGGUUAGCUCCAAAAUGAUGCAUUUUACCCAAGUUAGCUUUAAAAUGACCCAUUUUACCUAGAUUAGCUCAUAAACGAUCCAUAUCACCUAGGUUAGCUCACAAACGAUCCAUUUUACCUAGUUUAGCUCCAAAAUGACCCAUCACACCUAGGUUAGCUCUAAAAUGAUGCAUUUUACCUAAGUUAGCUCAUAAACGAUCUAUUUCACCUAGGUUAGCUCAUAAACGAUCCAUUUAACCUAACUUAGCUAAAAAACGAUCCAUUUCACCUAGGUUAGCUCCAAAAUGACCCAUCUUACCUAGGUUAGCUCUAAAAUGAUGCAUUAUACCUAAGUUAGCUCAUAAACGAUCUAUUUCACCUAGGUUAGCUCAUAAACGAUCCAUUUCAACUAAGUUAGCUCAUAAAUGAUCCAUUUCACCUAAGUUAGCUCAUAAAUGGCAUAUACUACUUCUUCUAGUCACCUUUUUUCUAACUUUCUUAUUUGCCAUUUUGCAUAUUUCAUUCACUUCACGGAAGCUAGCUUGCUAUGAUGGAGUGCUUGUUUUUUCUUUCAUUCUCCUCUAGUAUUCUUCUAGCUUGCUAUGAUGGAACUUGCUAUCUUGAUGAAACUUUGCAUUGUAAUAUGUAUGGAUGGAACAAUGUGUAUGUGCAACUUAUUAUGUAUGAAUGGAUGGAACUAUAUAUGUAUGCACGAUGAAACUUAUGUGCUGGAUAUGUCAUAUGUUUGCUGUUAAAUAGCCC